AAGACGUGGGCACGCGGUAUCGCGCUUUGCGCGCGCGAGAGUGCUGACGUGGCAUGCGCAAGGGAGAGAAAUCCUGGGGAAGGGCAGUGGGCCCGCGGCGUCGCGCUUUGGGAGCGCGAGACCGAAAGCGGUAUCGCUAUACGCGAGCGCGAGAGCGAGGAGCGAGGUGGGGCAGCGUUGUCGCGCUUUGAGGGCGCGAGACCGAAAGCGGUUUCGCCUUCCGCGUGCGCGAGAGCGAGGAGCGAGGUGGGGCAGCGCUGUCGUGCUUUGAGGGCACGAGACCGAAAGCGGUGUCGCGCUUUGCGCGCGCCGGUCGCGGCAGCAGGCGCGGUAUCGCGUGAACUAAACUUUGAGGCAGCAAUUGUUAUACGAGCAAGCUGGUUAAAAGGGAGUAGGCGGUAUCUGAUAACCGAAGGAAUGUCGGCAUUUAUAGUGUAUUUCGGUGAAGGUGAAAUUCUGGAAAAUGAAAGUGGUGUCGAUCUGAGCAACUUUAGGCAAUGCACACUACACCAUCCAAAUCCUGACACCCUUACCAUGCCCGAAGUUUGGAGACGGGGAUAUGAAUAUGUCAUGCUGGUGCAAGCAUGUCAAGGAAGAGUCCCCACGGAGAGCGCAGCGGGGCAAUCCAGCAACCGUGAGGAGUUGGGGUCUAGUUCACAUGAAGAAGAUGAAGUUGUAGCUCCCCAUCGUGGUGGGGAUGUUGGUCCUGACAUUCAAAAUCUAUCCAUACAAGGAGAUGAAGUGGUCAACCACCAUCCUACUGGUGAAGCCGAUGAAGGGGAGGACAUACCUGCUAUAGUCGAAGAAAUUGAGAGGGUGGACCGACAUGCAAUCGAAGAUGAGGAAAACCUCGCUGCUGAAGAGAAUGAUGACGAAGAUGAACAACAAGUUGAGGAAGUACCUAUGCCUGCUUCGUGGAACCAAGAAGACCCUGGUUAUAUUGCAGAAAACUCUUGUCAUGAUUCAAUAUGGUUCUACGGGGAUGGCCAAAUCAAUCUGGGUGCAAUGUUCCGUGACAAAACGGGGCUGCAAGAUGUAGUGAAGUCAUGGUCAUUCAAGACGCAAAGGCAGUUCAGGAUUGUGAAGUCUAACAAGACUGAGUACACGGUCGUCUGUGACGGAAGGUUGCACCUUCCGUCUUCAUGGUCACGUGCCAAAGCUGGUAAGGGUAGAAGACAAACACGGCGCUUAAGAAAUGAUAUGGAUGCAUCCGAAGCGGGAGGGCCUGUGAGGCGAUGUGAGGAAUGUCUUCAGUACGGGCACCGCACUAGAGAUUGCAAGAAUAACAAGGAGGAUAUAGAAGAGGAGUGGCCUUACCCGUUGCUUAGCAAAGAGAUCGAUGCACGGCAUCGUGCAAAGAAGAUAUAUGAUGGGAAUUCUUGCUCUAGUCUAGCUGUCCUGAUACCGCGUACAGCCGGAUUGAGGGGAUUGAUCGACAAUGGAAGGCGAGGUUGUCAGCUGCAGGAAUAUUUGUGUCAUUUCAAUGGUACUGCACAACUAAAUCUACAACCUCUGAUCGUGCAGCCACAGUGGGCAAGAAUCCAGGUGCACAAUGUGCAAAAUAGGCAAGCUGACAACAGGUAUCGUCGAUCUAUGCACUCAAGGAUGACCCCAUGGAUAGAGGCGUGGUCCCAGGCCUUGAAUGAUGUCGUCCAUGAGACCAGGGCAUACGACCACAACACUUACAAACAAUACAUGGCCUGGUACACAUCACAGACUCGCAUCCGGCUGCUUGCACCGGAGGAUCCCGACGAGCGAGGUCCACCAACAAUUGAUCAAAUAUAUGAUAUGCAGCUAGCACCCCCCGCUCACUUGACGACCGACAUUGCAGGGGAGCUAGUAAAGGAGGCGAAAACAUUAUGGGAGAAGCUUAGAGAUGGAAUGGCUGGUACGAACCAGGAAGUAAUGGCUGCGGUCGACUCCCUCCGCCGAAAAGGAAAGCGAAUCAUGCGCCUCGCAUCAUGCCGUCAUUCCUCGGACAUCUAUAAUCCGGCAACAUCAAGAAGGACGUUCGAGCCAAUGCGUGAGCGUCCCUCUACCUCUUCCCGGCCGUCCACCUCAUCCCGCCCUUCAGCAUCCGCGCGACGAUCCAGUGAUGGUCGUGUAGGAGUAAGGUCAACUUCCUUUCGUGAGCCACCCACUAUUCCGACUAUCCCAGAAAUCACUGAAAUUUCUGAACGCCUAGGAGGCUUUGGUUCAACUCAAGAGGGAACGCGAAUGGUCCGUCCCGUGCCUCAUAUGCCUCCUGCUAGGCCACAAAUGAUUCGUCAAAUGGCUCCCGAUGUGCCAACCUCACACUGGCAAGGAGGAUUUGCACCAUUUGCAGGGCCUACUCAGCCGGUUCCACUGCAUGCACCUACAUAUGGCACCAACCCAUGGCAAGGACAAUCCAUGGAUUACGGUGGGUCAUUUCGCCCUGAACUAAUGUCAGGGUUUAGGCCUUACACUACAUCGUACGGCGACAUGUCCAGCUUCGGUGGAGGGUCGUCAUCGGUACCCAACGAGCUUCGCACUUCACAAACUGAUGAUGCACCCCAAGUGACACAGCCCACACAACCAGAGGUUGGCGAAGGAAACGACAAUGACCCGCGUAGAUCUAACCGUGAGCGCCAUGAGCCGAACUGUCUGUCACUCUCAGGCCCGCGACAUGCCGCAAGACAAAGGAAAAAAACUACAAAAAAACGAGGUGGCACAUCUACGACUACGACUGACCAUGACGAUGAUGACGAGUACAACUGA
RNAcentral lists this long non-coding RNA (2739 nucleotides) under Oryza sativa Indica Group (long-grained rice). RNAcentral describes it as "lncRNA OsLiXu_01g0016510". The record is from RNAcentral. Lineage: Eukaryota; Viridiplantae; Streptophyta; Magnoliopsida; Poales; Poaceae.